CAGGAUCAGAUAAACCAUCUAAACAGU
This 27-nucleotide non-coding RNA is filed under the name Mus musculus (house mouse). The record is from RNAcentral. Lineage: Eukaryota; Metazoa; Chordata; Mammalia; Rodentia; Muridae.